This 460-nucleotide ribosomal RNA is filed under the name uncultured bacterium. RNAcentral describes it as "partial 16S ribosomal RNA". It matches the Rfam family "Bacterial small subunit ribosomal RNA", at positions 338 to 795 of the family's 1533-position model. The record is from RNAcentral.
CCUACGGGUGGCAGCAGUGAGGAAUAUUGGUCAAUGGACGAGAGUCUGAACCAGCCAAGUAGCGUGAAGGAUGACUGCCCUAUGGGUUGUAAACUUCUUUUAUAUGGGAAUAAAAUGUUCCACGUGUGGGAUUUUGUAUGUACCAUAUGAAUAAGGAUCGGCUAACUCCGUGCCAGCAGCCGCGGUAAUACGGAGGAUCCGAGCGUUAUCCGGAUUUAUUGGGUUUAAAGGGAGCGUAGGUGGAUUGUUAAGUCAGUUGUGAAAGUUUGCAGCUCAACCGUAAAAUUGCAGUUGAAACUGGCAGUCUGGAGUAUCGUAGAGGUGGGUGGAAUUCGUGGUGUAGCGGUGAAAUGCUUAGAUAUCACGAGGAAUUCCGAUGGCGAAGGCAGCUCCCUGGACGGAAACUGACACUGAGGUGCGAAAGUGUGGGUAUCAAACAGGAUUAGAUACCCGGGUAGUC